AGUGAACGCUGGCGGUAGGCCUAACACAUGCAAGUCGAACGGCAGCACAGUAAGAGCUUGCUCUUACGGGUGGCGAGUGGCGGACGGGUGAGGAAUACAUCGGAAUCUACUUUUUCGUGGGGGAUAACGUAGGGAAACUUACGCUAAUACCGCAUACGACCUACGGGUGAAAGCAGGGGAUCUUCGGACCUUGCGGGAUUGAAUGAGCCGAUGUUGGAGUAGCUAGUUGGCGGGGUAAAGGCCCACCAAGGCGACGAUCCGUAGCUGGUGUGAGAGGAUGAUAAGCCACACUGGAACUGAGACACGGUCCAGACUCCUACGGGAGGCAGCAGUGGGGAAUAUUGGACAAUGGGCGCAAGCCUGGUCCAGCCAUACCGCGUGGGUGAAGAAGGCCUUCGGGUUGUAAAGCCCUUUUGUUGGGAAAGAAAAGCAGCAGGUUAAUACCCCGCUGUUCUGACGGUACCCAAAGAAUAAGCACCGGCUAACUUCGUG
This 492-nucleotide ribosomal RNA is filed under the name uncultured bacterium. Its description in RNAcentral is "partial 16S ribosomal RNA". It matches the Rfam family "Bacterial small subunit ribosomal RNA", at positions 29 to 507 of the family's 1533-position model. The record is from RNAcentral.